Acanthosepion pharaonis is the source of this 109-nucleotide non-coding RNA. Lineage: Eukaryota; Metazoa; Mollusca; Cephalopoda; Sepiida; Sepiidae. The record is from the annotation of a GenBank genome assembly.
UUACGGCCAUAUCGCUGUCUAACAUCGGGUUUCGUACGAUCACCGAAAUUAAGCUACGAAGAACCAGGCCAGUACGUAGAUGGGUGAUCGCUUGGGAGUACUAUGCGCU